This 468-nucleotide ribosomal RNA is filed under the name uncultured bacterium. RNAcentral's name for it is "partial 16S ribosomal RNA". It matches the Rfam family "Bacterial small subunit ribosomal RNA", at positions 28 to 507 of the family's 1533-position model. The record is from RNAcentral.
GACGAACGCUGGCGGCGUGCUUAACACAUGCAAGUCGAACGGACAGGCCCUGCUUUUGUGGGGUGCUCGAGUGGCGCACGGGGGAGUAACACGUGAGUAACCUGCCCUUGACUUUGGGAUAACUCCAGGAAACUGGGGCUAUUACAGGAUAGGAGCUUCUGCUGCACGGUGGGGGUUGGAAAGUUUCGGCGGUUGGGGAUGGACUCGCGGCUUAUCAGCUUCUUGGUGGGGUAGUGGCUUACCAAGGCUACGACGGAUAGCCGGCCUGGGAGGGUGACCGGCCACAAUGGGACUGAGAUACGGCGCAGUCGCCUACGGGAGGCAGCAGUGGAGAAUAUUGCAGAAUGAGCGGAAGCCUGAGGCAGCAACGCCGCGUGCGGGAUAACGGGCUACUGGUUGUGAACCGCUGUCGCCGGUGACGAAGCGUGAGUGACGGUAAUGGGUAAAGAAGCAACGGCUAACUACGUG